Molecule: ribosomal RNA, 253 nt
Filed under: uncultured bacterium
Lineage: Bacteria
Description: partial 16S ribosomal RNA
Rfam family: Bacterial small subunit ribosomal RNA
Source: RNAcentral
UACGUAGGGUCCGAGCGUUGUCCGGAGUUACUGGGCGUAAAGCGCGCGCAGGCGGCGCGUCACGUCUGGCGUGAAAGCCCCCGGCUCAACCGGGGAGGGUCGUCGGAGACUGGCGGGCUUGAGGGCGGUAGGGGCUGGUGGAAUUCCCGGUGUAGUGGUGAAAUGCGUAGAGAUCGGGAGGAACACCUGUGGCGAAGGCGGCCAGCUGGGCCGACCCUGACGCUGAGGCGCGAAGGCGUGGGGAGCGAACGGG